Molecule: long non-coding RNA, 214 nt
Filed under: Homo sapiens (human)
Lineage: Eukaryota; Metazoa; Chordata; Mammalia; Primates; Hominidae
Description: non-protein coding lnc-FAM156B-1:1
Source: RNAcentral
CCGUAAGUCACGGAGGAAGGGGUAUGCAGUCAUUUUUUUCUACAACAGUAAGCAACAUCCCCUCUCUUUCCCUGUUCCGCAUCCUGCCUACAUGUCCUGCCUGGUCGCCUGGCUCCUCCACGUGCACUUGAUGCUCCAGCCAGAUAGACUGUGCACACCUGGGCAGAGGGAGUGCUGUGCUGCAAAGAACAUGGGGAGUAUCUGGACUAUCAAU